GCUUACGGUUAAUACCCGUGAGUCUUGACGUUACCUGCAGAAGAAGCACCGGCUAACUCCGUGCCAGCAGCCGCGGUAAUACGGAGGGUGCGAGCGUUAAUCGGAAUUACUGGGCGUAAAGCGCGCGUAGGCCGUUCGGUAAGUCGGGUGUGAAAGCCCCGGGCUCAACCUGGGAAUUGCAUCCGAUACUGUCGGGCUAGAGUCUGGUAGAGGGCAGUGGAAUUCCGGGUGUAGCGGUGAAAUGCGUAGAUAUCCGGAGGAACACCAGUGGCGAAGGCGACUGCCUGGACCAAGACUGACGCUGAGGUGCGAAAGCGUGGGUAGCAAACAGGAUUAGAUACCCUGGUAGUCCACGCCGUAAACGAUGAGAACUAGCCGUUGGGUUCAUUUAUGGACUUAGUGGCGCAGCUAACGCAUUAAGUUCUCCGCCUGGGGAGUACGGCCGCAGGGUUAAAACUCAGAGGAAUUGACGG
RNAcentral lists this ribosomal RNA (473 nucleotides) under uncultured Alkalilimnicola sp. RNAcentral's name for it is "bacterial SSU rRNA". It matches the Rfam family "Bacterial small subunit ribosomal RNA", at positions 449 to 916 of the family's 1533-position model. Lineage: Bacteria; Pseudomonadati; Pseudomonadota; Gammaproteobacteria; Chromatiales; Ectothiorhodospiraceae. The record is from RNAcentral.